AUCAAACCCUAACUCUCCUUCGUCUUCCUUUUCUCUCAACCGCAGACGGAAGAUUUUCCGAUUUCCUUUUCUUCUUCUAGAUCCUCUUCUUCUUCUCUCUUAUCUUGUUUCAGUCGAUACCCUUUCAUCUUCUUCUUCUUUCGUCUUCAUUCGUUUCUCUGGAUACUCCUUGAAUCCGAGAUAUCUGCUGUGAAUCCGAGUAAUCGACCGUGAAUCUGAGGAAUCCGCCGUGUCUUCUCCGCUGUGUUUGCUCUUUGUAGUAAUUACAAUGGCUAUUACCAGAGGAGGAGCAUCUAGUUCUAGAAGUGAACCAUCUUGCGAGCUUAGAAGUCCGAAAAGACGAACAAGUUGCAGGGUAUGUCGAGCAAGAGAAGAGUUCGACUCCUAUUUUUGUCUCUGAUGAUGAGUUUCGCUUGUAUUCUGGUAUCUGAUGUUGAUGUAUAAAUCUAAGUGUUUAGGUACAACUGGUACGAUUAGGUACAACUAUGUUUCUGGGUUUAUGUUUUUUGAUUAUGUAUGAA
Molecule: long non-coding RNA, 521 nt
Organism: Arabidopsis lyrata subsp. lyrata
Lineage: Eukaryota; Viridiplantae; Streptophyta; Magnoliopsida; Brassicales; Brassicaceae
Exons: 2
Source: RefSeq, a predicted model, not a curated record